Long non-coding RNA from Megalobrama amblycephala (Wuchang bream), 572 nucleotides. RefSeq lists it as uncharacterized. The transcript has 2 exons. The record is from RefSeq and is a predicted model, not a curated record. Lineage: Eukaryota; Metazoa; Chordata; Actinopteri; Cypriniformes; Xenocyprididae.
GAUCAGAUGGCCCAGUUUGUUGCGAUUGGUCCACUCUGGUCUGACUGGUCAGAUGGCCCAGUCUGUAGUGAUUGGUCUACUCUGCUCUGAUUGAUCAGAUGGCCCAGUUUGUUGUGAUUGGUCCACUCUGCUCUGAUCGGUCAGAUGGCCCAGUUUGUUGUGAGUGGUCUUCUCUCCUCUGAGUGGUCAGAUGACCCAGUCUGUAGUGAUUGGUCUACUCUGCUCUGAUUGAUCAGAUGGCCCAGUUUGUUGUGAUUGGUCCACUCUGCUCUGAUCGGUCAGAUGGCCCAGAGCCAUAGAGAGAGAGAGUUGCGACAACUCCAUAGACUCCAAUGGAACGGUUUUUUACAGCAAUGGCGGCUCGUGGAGCCUCUCAAUAGUUCCCGGAAGUAGCAGCCGCGCCGUAGAGUUACAGCAGAACAGACCGUUUGUGAUGUACUUUUAAAAGCACAAAGGGGAUUCAGAUCCUGAAGACUCCAUGCAAUGAUGCUGUCACCGCCAGUCUCUGCUCCUUGGAUUUUGCAAGCUUUUCCUUGCUCCUUAUUUUUAAUAAACCUUUAAUAAACAUAAAA